This 664-nucleotide ribosomal RNA is filed under the name Neobouteloua pauciracemosa. RNAcentral's name for it is "eukaryotic LSU rRNA". The stretch from base 247 to 402 matches the Rfam family "5.8S ribosomal RNA". Lineage: Eukaryota; Viridiplantae; Streptophyta; Magnoliopsida; Poales; Poaceae. The record is from RNAcentral.
ACCUGCGGAAGGAUCAUUGUCGUGACCCUGACCAAAACAGACCGCGAACAUGUCACCCAUGCCGCCGGGUGGCGGGGCUGGCACCCGUCUCCCGGUCCGGGCCGCCGACCUUCUUCCGGAGGGGAGGGGCCCCAAAAGAACCCACGGCGCCGUACGGUGUCAAGGAACACGAAUAUUGCCUUUGCCCGGGGCCGCAACCGGCGAGCCGGAUGCGCCCCGUGCGGCGAUGCUAUGUGAAAUCCACAUGACUCUCGGCAACGGAUAUCUCGGCUCUCGCAUCGAUGAAGAACGUAGCAAAAUGCGAUACCUGGUGUGAAUUGCAGAAUCCCGUGAACCAUCGAGUUUUUGAACGCAAGUUGCGCCCGAGGCCUUUCGGCCGAGGGCACGUCUGCCUGGGCGUCACGCCAGAAGGCACUCCCCACCCCAUCCCGGUGCGGACGUCGUGUUUGGCCCCUCGUGCCGCCGGGCGCGGUGGGCCGAAGUUGGGGCUGCCGGCGGUGCCGAUCACAGCACAAAGGUGGAUGACGCAUGUUGUUCUCGGUGCUACGAUCCGCGUACCGUUCCCUGUGCCCUCGGGACCCCAUCGACCGAAGCGCACGUCGCUCGGACCGCGACCCCAGGUCAGUCGGGAUUACCCGCCGAAUUUAAGCAUAUCAAUAAGCGG